Molecule: ribosomal RNA, 374 nt
Filed under: uncultured organism
Description: partial 16S ribosomal RNA
Rfam family: Bacterial small subunit ribosomal RNA
Source: RNAcentral
GUAGGUGGCAAGCGUUGUCCGGAAUUAUUGGGCGUAAAGCGCGCGCAGGCGGUUUUUAAGUCUGAUGUGAAAGCCCACGGCUCAACCGUGGAGGGUCAUUGGAAACUGGAGAACUUGAGUACAGAAGAGGAAAGCGGAAUUCCACGUGUAGCGGUGAAAUGCGUAGAGAUGUGGAGGAACACCAGUGGCGAAGGCGGCUUUCUGGUCUGUAACUGACGCUGAGGCGCGAAAGCGUGGGGGGCAAACAGGGAUUAGAUACCCUGGUAGUCCACGCCGUAAACGAUGAGUGCUAAGUGUUAGGGGGGGUUUCCGCCCCCCUUAGUGCUGCAGCUAACGCAUUAAGCACUCCGCCUGGGGAUACGGCCGCAAGGCUG